AGGACCUGCUGAACUUGAGGUCCUGUGGAGAACACUGAUGGCCCACCCCUGAAGGUGGCCCUGGUCUUCAUGCCUGCAUCAGCCUCAGCCAUCUCAAGAUCACAACGAGAACAUAGCCAAGUUAGAGAAGAAUGACCAAAAGCAUUGGGGUGCUUCGUAUUAUUAAGCUGCUAAAUUAACUAAUCUUGGGAAUUUCUAUACUCAACAAUUCUUGUUGUAUGGGAACUUCUGGCAACUAACCCUGGCAUGGCCACCAGAAUCUGCAGGGUUGAGAGAGGGAAAGAAAGGCAAAAGUGGAUGAAUGUAGCUGAAGAUGUUAUAUAACUCCUAUCACAUUCCAAGUGCUAUGUUGAUAUCUGGAGGUAUAGACAAGAUUGAAGCAGAUGCAGAGUCUUACACAUGAAUAUUUGAAUGAGGAAAUAUGUUCCCCAAAUUAGCAAAGCAUCUCGCAGACUCUUUUCUUGAUGAUAUAUUUGAAAUCCUAAUGCUGCAAGUUAAAUUAUCAGGGAUUUAAAACUAGAAGAAGUCAUGAUCACAAUUUUAUAUACUAUUUAAUUUUAAGCACAAAAUUUGACUGUUUAAGUCUUAUUAUAAUUUUAAGCAAAGUACUUUGGGUAGUCAUAAAUAAAGUAACUGGCAGGUAUUUAGUAUUUAUGUUGUGUGGAUUCAUAUCCAUACUCUACCACUCAGUAUCUCUGGGAUUUUUGAUGAAUGAUCAAACUCUCUGAGCCUCAGUUUUCUAAAGUGUAAAGCGGAAAUGAUAUUGGAAUGUAGUGAUAAUUAAAUAAUGUACUAGCUGUAGGUGCUUAGAACAGUUCCUGGAAUAUUAAAAAUUUAAAGAGACAUUUUAUUUUUAAUAGUUUAGUUAAUGGAAUGGCUUCAAAAAUACAGUUAAAUUAAGAUAUUCAAAGAAGCAGGAUGUGGGUGACCAGUAUUGGCGUCAGCUUUAGAGACCAAAGGUUAAGUCUCAAUGCUGCUGCAAAAGGGUUCAGGUAACAGUCAGUAAACA
Molecule: long non-coding RNA, 1009 nt
Organism: Cebus imitator (Panamanian white-faced capuchin)
Lineage: Eukaryota; Metazoa; Chordata; Mammalia; Primates; Cebidae
Exons: 3
Source: RefSeq, a predicted model, not a curated record